CCUACGGGUGGCAGCAGUGAGGAAUAUUGGUCAAUGGGCGCGGGGCUGAACCAGCCAAGUAGCGUGAAGGAUGACUGCCCUACGGAUUGUAAACUUCUUUUAUAAAGGAAUAAAGUGAGGCACGUGUGCCUUUUUGCAUGUACUUUAUGAAUAAGGAUCGGCUAACUCCGUGCCAGCAGCCGCGGUAAUACGGAGGAUCCGAGCGUUAUCCGGAUUUAUUGGGUUUAAAGGGAGCGUAGAUGGGUUGUUAAGUCAGUUGUGAAAGUUUGCGGCUCAACCGUAAAAGUGCAAUUGAUACUGGCAGUCUUGAGUACAGUUGAGGUAGGCGGAAUUCGUGGUGUAGCGGUGAAAUGCUUAGAUAUCACGCAGAACUCCGAUUGCGAAGGCAGCUUACUAAACUGCCACUGACAUUGAUGCUCGAAAGUGUGGGUAUCAAACAGGAUUAGAUACCCGUGUAGUC
RNAcentral lists this ribosomal RNA (460 nucleotides) under uncultured bacterium. RNAcentral describes it as "partial 16S ribosomal RNA". It matches the Rfam family "Bacterial small subunit ribosomal RNA", at positions 338 to 795 of the family's 1533-position model. The record is from RNAcentral.